CCUACGGGGGGCAGCAGUGAGGAAUAUUGGUCAAUGGGCGAGAGCCUGAACCAGCCAAGUCGCGUGAAGGAUGACGGCCCUACGGGUUGUAAACUUCUUUUGUCAGGGAGCAAUUGGGUCCACGCGUGGGCUUAGCGAGAGUACCUGAAGAAAAAGCAUCGGCUAACUCCGUGCCAGCAGCCGCGGUAAUACGGAGGAUGCGAGCGUUAUCCGGAUUUAUUGGGUUUAAGGGGUGCGUAGGCGGCCUUUUAAGUCAGCGGGGAAAGUCUGUGGCUCAACCAUAGAAUUGCCGUUGAAACUGGGAGGCUUGAGUAUGUUUGAGGCAGGCGGAAUGCGUGGUGUAGCGGUGAAAUGCUUAGAUAUCGCGAAGAACCCCGAUUGCGAAGGCAGCUUACUAAACUGUGACUGACAUUGAUGCUCGAAAGUGUGGGUAUCAAACAGGAUUAGAUACCCCGGUAGUC
Molecule: ribosomal RNA, 461 nt
Filed under: uncultured bacterium
Lineage: Bacteria
Description: partial 16S ribosomal RNA
Rfam family: Bacterial small subunit ribosomal RNA
Source: RNAcentral